RNAcentral lists this ribosomal RNA (105 nucleotides) under Clostridioides difficile. RNAcentral describes it as "partial 16S ribosomal RNA". It matches the Rfam family "Bacterial small subunit ribosomal RNA", at positions 1438 to 1533 of the family's 1533-position model. Lineage: Bacteria; Bacillati; Bacillota; Clostridia; Peptostreptococcales; Peptostreptococcaceae. The record is from RNAcentral.
ACCUUUUGGAAGAAGUCAUCGAAGGGUGAAUCAAUAACUGGGGUGAAGUCGUAACAAGGUAGCCGUAUCGGAAGGUGCGGCUGGAUCACCUCCUUUCUAAGGAGA